This is a long non-coding RNA of Tympanuchus pallidicinctus (lesser prairie-chicken), 418 nucleotides long. RefSeq lists it as uncharacterized. The record is from RefSeq and is a predicted model, not a curated record. The transcript is spliced from 3 exons. NCBI's taxonomy places the organism in Eukaryota, Metazoa, Chordata, Aves, Galliformes, Phasianidae.
UGAGUUUGCUUGGUCUUAGCCCUGCUUCUGAUUUUGUUUUCAGGGUGGACUUGGUUGUAUCUUGUCAAUGACUUCUUUCCAGCCCGGUCUCAUGGAUGUACCUUAGAUUCCUGCUUUUGUUAUGCCUCUAGGCAGAGCUGCCUACACCGGAGGAAUUUCCAUCAAAGAGGGAGCAAGGGAUAAAGACCAUCCUUGCUGUCUGCAGUGAGGAAGAGAUGUAUUCAGCAGUAUUCAUCACAGAAGAUGAACAGAAGGAAAUCAUGGAACUACCUGUGGCUUUCUCACCUCUCAGAGAUGGUCAGGUGGCAGUGCUGAAGGGAACACCUCAAACUGUAGCAGAAAAACAAACAAACAAAACAAAACAAAACAAAACAAAACAAAAAAAAAAAAAAAAAAAAAAAAAAAAAAACAACGAGAA